GAUCCUUUGGCAUCUACACGGUUAUGUCAUCCAAGGGGGAGUGUUGUAGACCGCAUGGUCGGAUGGACUCCAUAACCGUGGGCCUAAUCCAUAUUCUAGAAGGCCCAUGUCCAUGUUCUAGAGAAUUCUCCUUAUGACGGUCUAUGUUAUACUUAGUGGGCUUUUGGGCUUUAGGAUUUACUAGCCCAAUGGGGAUUUG
RNAcentral lists this long non-coding RNA (199 nucleotides) under Arabidopsis lyrata. Its description in RNAcentral is "long non-coding RNA (ALYR_LNC002763)". The record is from RNAcentral. Lineage: Eukaryota; Viridiplantae; Streptophyta; Magnoliopsida; Brassicales; Brassicaceae.